GAUGAACGCUAGCGGCAGGCCUAACACAUGCAAGUCGAGGGGUAACAUAGGAAAGCUUGCUUUUCUGAUGACGACCGGCGCACGGGUGCGUAACGCGUAUACAACCUACCUUUUAGCGGGGAAUAGCCCAGGGAAACUUGGAUUAAUGCCCCAUAGUAUAUAGACUUCUCCUGAAGUUUAUAUUAAACAUUUAUGGCUAUUAGAUGGGUAUGCGUCCUAUUAGUUAGUUGGUAAGGUAACGGCUUACCAAGGCAGCGAUAGGUAGGGGUCCUGAGAGGGAGAUCCCCACACUGGUACUGAGACACGGACCAGACUCCUACGGGAGGCAGCAGUGAGGAAUAUUGGACAAUGGGCGAGAGCCUGAUCCAGCCAUGCCGCGUGCAAGAAGACUGCCCUAUGGGUUGUAAACUGCUUUUACAGAGGAAGAACCACCCCCACGUGUGGGGGUUUGACGGUACUCUGCGAAUAAGGAUCGGCUAACUCCGUG
RNAcentral lists this ribosomal RNA (487 nucleotides) under uncultured bacterium. Its description in RNAcentral is "bacterial SSU rRNA". It matches the Rfam family "Bacterial small subunit ribosomal RNA", at positions 28 to 507 of the family's 1533-position model. The record is from RNAcentral.